GUGUCAGCAGCCGCGGUAAUACGGAGGUGGCAAGCGUUGUUCGGAAUUACUGGGCGUAAAGGGCGCGUAGGCGGCAAGGCAAGUCAGGUGUGAAAGCCCCGAGCUUAACUCGGGAAUUGCAUCUGAAACUGCUGUGCUUGAGUUCUGGAGGGGGUAGUGGAAUUCCCAGUGUAGCGGUGAAAUGCGUAGAUAUUGGGAGGAACACCUGCGGCGAAGGCGGCUACCUGGACAGAAACUGACGCUGAGGCGCGAAAGCUAGGGGAGCGAACGGGAUUAGAUACCCCGGUAGUCC
Molecule: ribosomal RNA, 292 nt
Filed under: uncultured bacterium
Lineage: Bacteria
Description: partial 16S ribosomal RNA
Rfam family: Bacterial small subunit ribosomal RNA
Source: RNAcentral